RNAcentral lists this ribosomal RNA (497 nucleotides) under uncultured bacterium. RNAcentral's name for it is "partial 16S ribosomal RNA". It matches the Rfam family "Bacterial small subunit ribosomal RNA", at positions 28 to 507 of the family's 1533-position model. The record is from RNAcentral.
GACGAACGCUGGCGGCGUGCCUAAUACAUGCAAGUAGAACGCUGAAACUUGGUGCUUGCACCGAGCGGAUGAGUUGCGAACGGGUGAGUAACGCGUAGGUAACCUGCCUGGUAGCGGGGGAUAACUAUUGGAAACGAUAGCUAAUACCGCAUAAGAGUAGAUGUUGCAUGACAUUUGCUUAAAAGGUGCAAUUGCACCACUACCAGAUGGACCUGCGUUGUAUUAGCUAGUUGGUGGGGUAACGGCUCACCAAGGCGACGAUACAUAGCCGACCUGAGAGGGUGAUCGGCCACACUGGGACGGAGACACGGCCCAGACUCCUACGGGAGGCAGCAGUAGGGAAUCUUCGGCAAUGGACGGAAGUCUGACCGAGCAACGCCGCGUGAGUGAAGAAGGUUUUCGGAUCGUAAAGCUCUGUUGUAAGAGAAGAACGAGUGUGAGAGUGGAAAGUUCACACUGUGACGGUAUCUUACCAGAAAGGGACGGCUAACUACGUG